UACGAAGGGAGCUAGCGUUGUCCGGAAUUACUGGGCGUAAAGCGCACGUAGGCGGGCUCUUAAGUCAGGGGUGAAAUCCCGUGGCUCAACCUCGGGACUGCCUUUGAUACUGCGUGCCUCGAGGGUGGGAGAGGUGAGUGGAAUUCCCAGUGUAGCGGUGAAAUUCGUAGAUACUAGGAAGAACACCGGUGGCGAAAGCGUCCUACUGGCCCGAAUCUGACGCUGAGGUGCGAAAGCGUGGGGAGCGAACAGG
RNAcentral lists this ribosomal RNA (253 nucleotides) under uncultured bacterium. Its description in RNAcentral is "partial 16S ribosomal RNA". It matches the Rfam family "Bacterial small subunit ribosomal RNA", at positions 524 to 776 of the family's 1533-position model. The record is from RNAcentral.